RNAcentral lists this small RNA (107 nucleotides) under Marmota monax (woodchuck). The record is from RNAcentral. Lineage: Eukaryota; Metazoa; Chordata; Mammalia; Rodentia; Sciuridae.
GCCAGUUGUGGUGGUGUACACCUGUAAUCCCAGCUACUUGGGAGGCUGAGACAGGAGGAUCACAAGUUUGAGGCCAGCCUGGGCAAGUGAGCAAGACCUUGGCUCAA